UGGUGGAGCAUGUGGUUUAAUUCGAAGCAACGCGAAGAACCUUACCAGGUCUUGACAUCCUUUGACCACUCUAGAGAUAGAGCUUUCCCUUCGGGGACAAAGUGACAGGUGGUGCAUGGUUGUCGUCAGCUCGUGUCGUGAGAUGUUGGGUUAAGUCCCGCAACGAGCGCAACCCUUAUUACUAGUUGCCAGCAUUCAGUUGGGCACUCUAGUGAGACUGCCGGUGACAAACCGGAGGAAGGUGGGGAUGACGUCAAAUCAUCAUGCCCCUUAUGACCUGGGCUACACACGUGCUACAAUGGAUGGUACAACGAGUCGCAAGGUCGCGAGGCCAAGCUAAUCUCUUAAAGCCAUUCUCAGUUCGGAUUGUAGGCUGCAACUCGCCUACANGAAGCCNNAAUCGC
Molecule: ribosomal RNA, 404 nt
Filed under: Carnobacterium sp. AZTITEMP70
Lineage: Bacteria; Bacillati; Bacillota; Bacilli; Lactobacillales; Carnobacteriaceae
Description: bacterial SSU rRNA
Rfam family: Bacterial small subunit ribosomal RNA
Source: RNAcentral